Molecule: long non-coding RNA, 362 nt
Filed under: Oryza brachyantha (malo sina)
Lineage: Eukaryota; Viridiplantae; Streptophyta; Magnoliopsida; Poales; Poaceae
Description: long non-coding RNA (OBRA_LNC002120)
Source: RNAcentral
UCCGUAGGAGUCGCCGUCUUCUUUCUCUUCUCCCCCGAAAAACAUCACCGCGCUUUCCCCCACCAACUUAAAAAAACCCCAACCCCAACCCCAACACCUCCGCUUCCGCACAACACAAAAUUCCCCAUCCCACCCUCUCAAUCUCAUCCUCCCCACCCCACCCAACCCGCCCGUCGCCGUCGUCGUCGUCUUCUCCACCGUGGUUCAAAAAUCCCUCCCCUCGCGCCCAAAUUCCCAAACCCUAGCCGGGCCCGGUCCGCCGCCGGCGUGGGGCUGCCUCGCUCCGCCGGAUCCGUCCAGCGGAACAUGCGGGAUCCCGGACCAUGGCGACCGGACCCGAUCUGAGCUCACCCGCCGCCGCC